AAAAUAAUAUUUUUUUUUGCCUAAGUAAUGGUAUUCUUUCAAAAAAGAAAAAAAUAAUUAAUUCAUUUUCUUUGUCUUCUUCUUCGUUGUUUACUUCAAUCUCUCUGUUCAUCCUCCAUCUUCUACUUCAGUUUGGUUUUUUUUUUUCAUCUUAUUCAUCCCAAUCGAAGAAACCACAUAAGGAUGGGAUCUCGUCUUUCCCAAACUCCUCCAUUUUGCACUCUGUAUAUCAAUCAUCAUCGUCUCCACCAAACCCUAAACCACGAUCUCUCCUUGAACGACGAUUACGUCUCAUAAUCAUCUCCGCAAGACCUCGCAAACCCCUCAAUUUCACUCCUUCGUGCGUCUCCUCAGAUCCCAACGCCUCUGAUUCGAUAAAGAGAGACGAAUGCACCAGUAGCCAUGGCUGAACAGGUUCUGUUUCUUCUUUCUCUGUCUCUUUGUUUAUAUACUUCUUACAAAUAUUCUCAUCCUCUUCUCUCUCUUGCAGGCUGAGACAGCUUUUCUUAAGCGUUUGAUCGGAAAACGGUAAUAAAUAAGAUGUGGGUUUAAACAAAGACGUUUUAUUAAUGGUCGAAGAAAAACGUUUAGUCGGUUACAAAGGAAAAGAAGAGAGUGCGACAGAAAGGAAGCCGGUGGCUCGAUGAGCUACCGGAAAAGUACAACUAACGGCGAGAUGAAGCAAAGGUGAAAACCCUAAUCUAGCCGCCAAGUAUUAGUCAGUGAUUUCGGAUCCUUCUCUCGUUGUCUCCCCUCUCCCUUAUAUAGACGUCCUGAUGCCUCGUCCUUGACCUAAUUUACGCCAUCUUGGUGGGCCUCCUCUGCUGGGCCGAGAAGCCCGUAAGCGUCCGAGCAGCCGCUGAGCCGAAUGUACUUUAGUCGAUGAUGAUUGACAAAAAGUACUCAAGAGUCAAGCCGAGAGACCUGACUCUUGAGCCGACCGAUCGAGCCGUCGCUCUACCUUAUCCGGGCCAGUCCUUUCUAUUCCUCAGGCCUUGUGGGAUGGUCAAAUCCGUCCUCUACAGUAAGUCCCCCCCCCAGUCCAUUAGUGAGCGAAGUGCUUUCUGGCUCGUGAUGGAUUCUAAGGUUUGAAGGUUUGAGGGAAUAGAAGGCCUGUCGGAAGGUUGGAGCGGUUGGUCGAUGAGUCGCACAACGUCGUUCUCUCGGAAGCGAGCAGUAGAGGCUUUAUCGCUCCUUUUGAUCGUUGUGUCGCAGGGAGGCCGACCGACAUAUCUAGAUUAACCGUUGGUUUGUUCCGAUUUUAAGAUGACCGACGUCCGAUCUAGACGAGAAGCGGAACCGUCGUGAGGGUCCGCUGGACAUUUGGGAGAGUUUCGAGGCCCAUUUAGGCCCGUUUAGGCUUAAUGACGACACCUCGAAUUCCCCCCCUUUUUUUCUCUUUUAAAUGCACCGAGAAGUCGAAACGUCGCGAGGGUCCGUUGGGUUUUUAGGGCGGAUUUCGAGGCCCGUUUAGGCCCGAAUAGACCUAAUGAUGGCGCACGACAGCCUUCAAAUGCACAAGUUCUUGUUGAUCUUGAAGAGGAUGACAAACUUGAAAGAGGUAAAAAUAUUAGUUCUUACUUCAAUCUUUCUUAUUGCUUACAAUAUAAACGUACAUUUUAAACAUUGUUUCUAACUUCCAUUUUGCAGAGAAUGAAGAUGCCCCCCCUCUCUUUUCCUUAUAAAUACGCAGAUCCCCUCUCAUUUCUUAUAGUUUUUCUCCGCGAUCAAAGGUACUUUGUCUCUCUUUCCUUUAUCUCUCUAAGCGUUGUUAGAUUCAUUCGAAGCAUUCUUCACCGUUCCGUUCCGCGAUGUCGUCGGGUCAGAGGCUAUCGAAGCAACAGAAGGGAAAGGCAGUCGCAGCGACGUCGAAUCCGACAAGGAAUCCCGACGGGGGUCGUGUCGGAGAUCCGGAGGCGAUUCAUCGCGCGGUGAUGAUGGAUACGCUGCAUUGCUUCCUGCAACUUUUGCGUCCAGUGUAAGAACCUUCGCUGAUGUUGCAAUGUUGUACCCUUCUUUCUUAGUUUUCAAUUCUGCUAGGUAGUUAAAAGUCUCUGCCUUUGCUCUGUUCUUGGCUAAAGUUUGUCUUUUUGCCUUGUUCUUGGCUAAAGUUAUACUUUUUCCCCUGUUUUUGUUACCAUCUCUAUGCUCUAUGUUACAAUUUUAAGUCUGACUUUAAAAAAGAAGUUUAGUUUGAUCAAGAUGAAGCCUCUCAUUCUUAGCUAAAGUUAACUUAAUGAUCAUUCUUCUGUUCCAAACUAGGUUCCGCUAGUUGUUAUUGUUUUUGUCUCAGUUUUUAACCAAGCAUGUGUUCUUAUAGACAGAUGAGCUUAAAGCAGUUGGAGUUGAUGAAGUGGUUCUGGCCAUCAAUUACCAACCAGAAGUGAUGCUUAACUUUUUGAAAGACUUUGAAGCAAAGCUGGAAAUCAAAAUCACUUUCUCACAAGAGACUGAGCGUAUGGGUACGAUUGAGUCCAGCUUGGGAAAUAUUAAGGAAGUUAUUAGUCUUAUAUAUGUUGGUAUAUUUGUUAACUUAUGAAUUAUUUUGGCCUUAUGUAUAUUUUGGAUGGUAGUUAGUGAAUGUAGUGGUUGCCUUGGAGAAGCAGAGGAAGUCCGAUUGCCAUUGAUAUUAUUAUGGCAUUUGUAGCUUUUAUAUGUUGGAUCACUUCUGGUUUCUAAUGAGUAAUGAGCAAGAUUAUGUCUAAAAUGGUCAAUGAAAAUUUAUUUUAGUUAUUUACUUACUGAUAAUAAUUAACCAUAAAAUCCAAAGAUAACACAAAAGUAAUAUCAUAAAAAAGAAAAUCCAACACUAAUAAUAAAUCUAACAAAAAUAAUAUUUUUUUACUUCAUGUUCUAAACCCUAAACAUUCCCUAAACCCUGAAUUUAUCUUUUAACUCCAAACUCUAUUUUUAAACAUUAAAAUCAUUGUUUACAUAAAAUAUAAUAUUUUAAAAUGUAUAGUCUAUGAAAAUAAUUAAGUUUUAAGAGUUGUGAUUAAAGUUUUAGGUUUCAACCCUAGCCCCUACACUAAACUUUAAAACUUCAAUAUUUUGAUAGUAUAUAACUUAAAUCUUAAAUUUUAACUAAAAUUAGAUCUUUUUCAAUGU
Molecule: long non-coding RNA, 3108 nt
Filed under: Brassica napus (rape)
Lineage: Eukaryota; Viridiplantae; Streptophyta; Magnoliopsida; Brassicales; Brassicaceae
Description: long non-coding RNA (BNAP_LNC020340)
Source: RNAcentral